AAAUCCCUUGAAGAAAGCUUUUGGAUCCAAGAUAUCUUCCAACGGCUAGUUUUAUCGGUUUUCCUUAUUUGUUUGCUUCUUUUUUUGUUUUAGUUUUCUAGCUAAGUUAAGGCACGAGCCUAUAUAAGCUCUGUCUAGUCUUCAUUGUAAGUCACCUUUCAAUUCUUAAGAAAUAAUAUUCAGUUUAUCUUUUAUCAAAGAAUUUCUUUGCAUAAAAAUCUGUUCUUUAGUUUCUAAGUGUGAGAUACAUUAGAAAGCUAUUGAGCUUGUGGUUCAUAGGUUCUUUGUGUGAUACAGGAGCCUUGAGACACAGAUUGAGAGAGUCAAUCAGCACCCACGGAUUGAGAGAGUCAAUCAUCAUCUAUCCAACAUCAUCUAUCCAUCCUCCAUCAUCAAACAUCUAUCCAUAAACCAUUCCAUCCCUUUAUCUUUUCAGUUUCUAUUCUUAUUUUAAUUAUUCAUAAACUCAUUGUUCUUCAUUGUUUCCAGGUUAGAUUGGAUUAAAAGGAACAGAAAGUCGGCCAUCUUCACCAUCUUUCCAUCCGGCCUUCAUCCUUACCGAUAAGAUCGACCCAUCGCCCAUCCAUCUCAUCGACCCAGCUUCCCAGCCUGCAACAGCAUCUUUCCUCCAGUAGAUCAUACAGUUGUCUAUACACACAUCUAUCAUCUCCGAAGGUAAGCCAAGACUAUGAACAAGUUU
RNAcentral lists this long non-coding RNA (700 nucleotides) under Brassica napus (rape). Its description in RNAcentral is "long non-coding RNA (BNAP_LNC024683)". Lineage: Eukaryota; Viridiplantae; Streptophyta; Magnoliopsida; Brassicales; Brassicaceae. The record is from RNAcentral.